CAUUGAUAUCUACGCACCAAGUUAAGGGGGAGUGUUGACAGUUUUAGAACAGCUACAGAAACCAAAUAUUGAUUUUUCUAUCUUGUAUAAUAUGAAAUAUUGUAAAAUAUUAAGUUUCCUAUAUUGAGUUUCAUGUUUUGUAGGAUUACUAUUGUAGUGAGAUUUCUUUCCUAAAAGACAAAAAAAAUUAACUUUAUAAAUCUCUGGUAAAACAGAGUAAUCCCUAUUAAUGAGAAUUUGGUUUACCAUCCGUAGAUGUAGGCACCAUUGCCGAAUCGCGUAUAUCUUGUCGGUUUUUUUUCUUUCUCUUUCGUCUCUAUUUCUUUUACUACAAAUUCUACACUUGGGCAAGUCCAAGUGGAUUCCCAGUUCUGAGACAUUGC
RNAcentral lists this long non-coding RNA (383 nucleotides) under Amborella trichopoda. RNAcentral describes it as "long non-coding RNA (ATRI_LNC000441)". The record is from RNAcentral. Lineage: Eukaryota; Viridiplantae; Streptophyta; Magnoliopsida; Amborellales; Amborellaceae.